RNAcentral lists this long non-coding RNA (671 nucleotides) under Marmota monax (woodchuck). The record is from RNAcentral. Lineage: Eukaryota; Metazoa; Chordata; Mammalia; Rodentia; Sciuridae.
CUGUCACUGAUACUUCAUGCUCCCGUCAGAGGACAUGCUAUAGUGGGUUUAAGUGGAAAUGGAACUUGGGAGAUGAGUCCUUUUUUUUUUCUUCCUUUUUUAUAUUUGAAAUUGGGAAGCCUGGACUUACCAUUCACUAAUAUUGACUAUGUGUAACUGGAGUCUAAUUCUCAUGAAAAGCAUCAUCUUUGCCACUUUGUCAUCUGGGUCUCUCCUGGUUAAGUCUUGAUUACCAUCUCAGCCCUUCUUAGACUAUGGCUGCAAUGACCCAUGCCUUGCGUCCCUGGGCCCUAUCGGUACCCAGGGCUUGCUGGUUACAUGCAAAGCGGAGCUUGUCUUUAUUUUGUCUUCAACUUUUCUCAAGGGGUUGAAGUGGAAGUGGCCAUAUGAAGUUGCAUAUGCCCUGCAGGAAAAGACAGGCCCAGGCUGGUGAGCUUUCCUGGAGGGCUGAUGGGGCCAGGACUUCUGCAAAGACACUGCUUUGAAGAAGUAUUCCUGUCAAAGCAUGUGAGGACCGUCCCAGCCCUGGCCUGUCACAUGUCACCUCCUGUUAUCAGACAGCAAGCAGUAGGUAUGCUCCUCCUCUUAUUCUCAUUGUCACUGUGGGCUCAAGUUCCAUAGCUAUGACAUUCCAUAUAUAUAUAUGAUGUUCCCACCACCACCGCCAUCCC